AGGGGCGUCGCCAAGAGGCCCAAGGCACCAGGUUUUGGAUCCUGGCAUUCGUAGGUUCGAAUCCUACCGCCCCUGCCA
This 78-nucleotide transfer RNA is filed under the name Xanthomonas phaseoli pv. manihotis str. CIO151. Its description in RNAcentral is "Xanthomonas axonopodis pv. manihotis str. CIO151 tRNA-Gln". It matches the Rfam family "tRNA". From Rfam's summary of the family: Transfer RNA (tRNA) molecules are approximately 80 nucleotides in length. The record is from RNAcentral. Lineage: Bacteria; Pseudomonadati; Pseudomonadota; Gammaproteobacteria; Lysobacterales; Lysobacteraceae.